This 475-nucleotide ribosomal RNA is filed under the name uncultured bacterium. RNAcentral's name for it is "bacterial SSU rRNA". It matches the Rfam family "Bacterial small subunit ribosomal RNA", at positions 9 to 507 of the family's 1533-position model. The record is from RNAcentral.
CGAGUUUGAUCCUGGCUCAGGAUGAACGCUGGCGGCGUGCUUAACACAUGCAAGUCGAACGUGAGAAUAGCAAUAUUUGAAAGUGGCAAACGGGUGAGUAACACGUGGGAACCUGCCUCGAAGUGGGGGAUAACGAUUGGAAACGGUCGCUAAUACCGCACGGUUCUGCUCUGAUGGGAAUGGAGCAGAUAAAGAUUUAUCGCUUUGAGAGGGGCCCGCGGCCGAUUAGCUAGUUGGUAAGGUAAAGGCUUACCAAGGCGAUUAUCGGUAGCUGGUCUGAGAGGACGAUCAGCCACACGGGAACUGAGACACGGUCCCGACUCCUACGGGGGGCAGCAGUGAGGAAUAUUGGGCAAUGGGCGAAAGCCUGACCCAGCAACGCCGCGUGGAGGAUGAAGGCUUUAGGGUUGUAAACUCCUUUUGUGGGGGAAAAGAAUGGAUGGUACCCCAAGAAUAAGUCACGGCUAACUACGUG